GCCCGGUUAGCUCAAUCGGUAGAGCGUGAGACUCUUAAUCUCAAGGUUGCGGGUGAGUAACUAAAAGUAAAAGCAAAGGAAAAAUCGAAAAAUACUAACCCUAACAGGUUCGACCCCCGCAUCGGGCU
Non-coding RNA from Xylaria cubensis, 128 nucleotides. The record is from the annotation of a GenBank genome assembly. Lineage: Eukaryota; Fungi; Ascomycota; Sordariomycetes; Xylariales; Xylariaceae.